RNAcentral lists this ribosomal RNA (466 nucleotides) under Vreelandella stevensii. RNAcentral describes it as "partial 16S ribosomal RNA". It matches the Rfam family "Bacterial small subunit ribosomal RNA", at positions 338 to 795 of the family's 1533-position model. The record is from RNAcentral. Lineage: Bacteria; Pseudomonadati; Pseudomonadota; Gammaproteobacteria; Oceanospirillales; Halomonadaceae.
CCUACGGGGGGCUGCAGUGGGGAAUAUUGGACAAUGGGGGCAACCCUGAUCCAGCCAUGCCGCGUGUGUGAAGAAGGCCCUCGGGUUGUAAAGCACUUUCAGUGAGGAAGAACGCCUGGUGGUUAAUACCCAUCAGGAAAGACAUCACUCACAGAAGAAGCACCGGCUAAACUCCGUGCCAGCAGCCGCGGUAAUACGGAGGGUGCGAGCGUUAAUCGGAAUUACUGGGCGUAAAGCGCGCGUAGGUGGCUUGAUAAGCCGGUUGUGAAAGCCCCGGGCUCAACCUGGGAACGGCAUCCGGAACUGUCAAGCUAGAGUGCAGGAGAGGAAGGUAGAAUUCCCGGUGUAGCGGUGAAAUGCGUAGAGAUCGGGAGGAAUACCAGUGGCGAAGGCGGCCUUCUGGACUGACACUGACACUGAGGUGCGAAAGCGUGGGUAGCAAACAGGAUUAGAUACCCUUGUAGUC